CCUACGGGAGGCAGCAGUGAGGAAUAUUGGUCAAUGGCCGUAAGGCUGAACCAGCCAAGUAGCGUGAGGGAAGACUGCCCUAUGGGUUGUAAACCUCUUUUAUGCGGGGAUAAAGGUGUCCACGUGUGGUUCAUUGAGAGUACCCGAAGAAAAAGCAUCGGCUAACUCCGUGCCAGCAGCCGCGGUAAUACGGAGGAUGCGAGCGUUAUCCGGAUUUAUUGGGUUUAAAGGGUGCGCAGGCGGAGGUGCAAGUCAGCGGUCAAAUUGCGGGGCUCAACCCCGUACUGCCGUUGAAACUGCAUCCCUUGAGUGCGCGAGAAGUAUGCGGAAUGCGUGGUGUAGCGGUGAAAUGCAUAGAUAUCACGCAGAACUCCGAUUGCGAAGGCAGCAUACCGGCGCGCAACUGACGCUCAUGCACGAAAGCGUGGGUAUCGAACAGGAUUAGAUACCCCAGUAGUC
This 459-nucleotide ribosomal RNA is filed under the name uncultured bacterium. RNAcentral's name for it is "partial 16S ribosomal RNA". It matches the Rfam family "Bacterial small subunit ribosomal RNA", at positions 338 to 795 of the family's 1533-position model. The record is from RNAcentral.